Molecule: ribosomal RNA, 568 nt
Filed under: uncultured bacterium
Lineage: Bacteria
Description: partial 16S ribosomal RNA
Rfam family: Bacterial small subunit ribosomal RNA
Source: RNAcentral
UGGGGAAUAUUGGGCAAUGGGCGCAAGCCUGAUCCAGCAAUGCCGCGUGUGUGAAGAAGGCCUUCGGGUUGUAAAGCACUUUUAUCAGGAGCGAAACGCUGUCGGCUAAUACCCGGCGGAACUGACGGUACCUGAGGAAUAAGCACCGGCUAACUUCGUGCCAGCAGCCGCGGUAAUACGAAGGGUGCAAGCGUUAAUCGGAAUUACUGGGCGUAAAGCGUGCGUAGGCGGUUUCUUAAGUCUGCUGUGAAAUCCCCGGGCUCAACCUGGGAAUGGCAGUGGAUACUGGGAGGCUAGAGUGUGUCAGAGGGUGGUGGAAUUCCCGGUGUAGCGGUGAAAUGCGUAGAGAUCGGGAGGAACAUCAGUGGCGAAGGCGGCCACCUGGGACAACACUGACGCUGAGGCACGAAAGCGUGGGGAGCAAACAGGAUUAGAUACCCUGGUAGUCCACGCCCUAAACGAUGCGAACUGGAUGUUGGUCUCAACUCGGAGAUCAGUGUCGAAGCUAACGCGUUAAGUUCGCCGCCUGGGGAGUACGGUCGCAAGACUGAAACUUAAAUGAAUUGAC